RNAcentral lists this ribosomal RNA (172 nucleotides) under uncultured bacterium. RNAcentral's name for it is "partial 16S ribosomal RNA". It matches the Rfam family "Bacterial small subunit ribosomal RNA", at positions 118 to 291 of the family's 1533-position model. The record is from RNAcentral.
UGAGCAACCUGCCCUUGGCUUUGGGAUAACCCUCGGAAACGGGGGCUAAUACCGAAUGUUCACUGCUGGACGCAUGUUUGGUGGUGGAAAGUUUUUCGGCUGGGGAUGGGCUCGCGGCCUAUCAGUUUGUUGGUGGGGUGAUGGCCUACCAAGGCGACGACGGGUAGCUGGU